CGAUCAGUAGCCGACCUGAGAGGGUGAUCGGCCACAUUGGAACUGAGACACGGUCCAAACUCCUACGGGAGGCAGCAGUGGGGAAUAUUGCACAAUGGGCGAAAGCCUGAUGCAGCAACGCCGCGUGCGUGAUGAAGGCCUUCGGGUCGUAAAACUCUGUCCUCAAGGAAGAUAAUGACGGUACUUGAGGAGGAAGCCCCGGCUAACUACGUGCCAGCAGCCGCGGUAAUACGGAGGGGGCUAGCGUUAUCCGGAUUUACUGGGCGUAAAGGGUGCGUAGGCGGUCUUUCAAGUCAGGAGUGAAAGGCUACGGCUCAACCGUAGUAAGCUCUUGAAACUGGGAGACUUGAGUGCAGGAGAGGAGAGUGGAAUUCCUAGUGUA
This 382-nucleotide ribosomal RNA is filed under the name Clostridioides difficile. RNAcentral describes it as "bacterial SSU rRNA". It matches the Rfam family "Bacterial small subunit ribosomal RNA", at positions 277 to 677 of the family's 1533-position model. Lineage: Bacteria; Bacillati; Bacillota; Clostridia; Peptostreptococcales; Peptostreptococcaceae. The record is from RNAcentral.